AUUGAACGCUGGCGGCAGGCCUAACACAUGCAAGUCGAGCGGAUGAAGGGAGCUUGCUCCUGGAUUCAGCGGCGGACGGGUGAGUAAUGCCUAGGAAUCUGCCUGGUAGUGGGGGAUAACGUCCGGAAACGGGCGCUAAUACCGCAUACGUCCUGAGGGAGAAAGUGGGGGAUCUUCGGACCUCACGCUAUCAGAUGAGCCUAGGUCGGAUUAGCUAGUUGGUGGGGUAAAGGCCUACCAAGGCGACGAUCCGUAACUGGUCUGAGAGGAUGAUCAGUCACACUGGAACUGAGACACGGCCCAGACCCCUACGGGAGGCAGCAGUGGGGAAUAUUGGAAAAGGGGCGAAAGCCUGAUCCAGCCAUGCCGGGGGUGUGAAGAAGGUCUUCGGAUUGUAAAGCACUUUAAGUUGGGAGGAAGGGCAGUAAGUUAAUACCUUGCUUUUUUGACGUUACCAACAGAAUAAGCACCGGCUAACUUCGU
RNAcentral lists this ribosomal RNA (483 nucleotides) under uncultured bacterium. RNAcentral describes it as "partial 16S ribosomal RNA". It matches the Rfam family "Bacterial small subunit ribosomal RNA", at positions 30 to 506 of the family's 1533-position model. The record is from RNAcentral.